Molecule: ribosomal RNA, 497 nt
Filed under: uncultured bacterium
Lineage: Bacteria
Description: partial 16S ribosomal RNA
Rfam family: Bacterial small subunit ribosomal RNA
Source: RNAcentral
GAUGAACGCUGGCGGCGUGCCUAAUACAUGCAAGUCGAGCGAACAGACGAGGAGCUUGCUCCUCUGACGUUAGCGGCGGACGGGUGAGUAACACGUGGAUAACCUACCUAUAAGACUGGGAUAACUUCGGGAAACCGGAGCUAAUACCGGAUAAUAUAUUGAACCGCAUGGUUCAAUAGUGAAAGACGGUUUUGCUGUCACUUAUAGAUGGAUCCGCGCCGCAUUAGCUAGUUGGUAAGGUAACGGCUUACCAAGGCAACGAUGCGUAGCCGACCUGAGAGGGUGAUCGGCCACACUGGAACGGAGACACGGUCCAGACUCCUACGGGAGGCAGCAGUAGGGAAUCUUCCGCAAGGGGCGAAAGCCUGACGGAGCAACGCCGCGUGAGUGAUGAAGGUCUUCGGAUCGUAAAACUCUGUUAUUAGGGAAGAACAAAUGUGUAAGUAACUAUGCACGUCUUGACGGUACCUAAUCAGAAAGCCACGGCUAACUACGUG